RNAcentral lists this non-coding RNA (22 nucleotides) under Arabidopsis thaliana (thale cress). Lineage: Eukaryota; Viridiplantae; Streptophyta; Magnoliopsida; Brassicales; Brassicaceae. The record is from RNAcentral.
GACACGAGAGAUUAAAGGUAUC